CACUACGAGUUUGAUCCGUGGCUACAGGACGAACGCUGGCGGCGUGCUUAACACAUGCAAGUCGAACGAGACGAUUUAGAAGCUUGCUUUUAUUGAGUCGAGUGGCAAACGGGUGAGUAACGCGUAGACAACCUGCCGCAAAGAUGGGGACAACAGUCCGAAAGGACUGCUAAUACCGAAUGUUGUAUCUCCUCCGCAUGGAAGAGAUAUUAAAGAUGGCCUCGCGUCUGAUUAGCUAGUUGGUGAGGUAACGGCCCACCAAGGCGACGAUCAGUAGCCGGACUGAGAGGUUGAACGGCCACAUUGGGACUGAGAUACGGCCCAGACUCCUACGGGAGGCAGCAGUGGGGAAUAUUGGUCAAUGGGCGCAGGCCUGAACCAGCCAAGUCGCGUGAGGGAAGACGGUCCUACGGAUUGUAAACCUCUUUUGUCGGGGAGUAACGUGCGGGACGCGUCCCGUAUUGAGAGUACCCGAAGAAAAAGCAUCGGCUAACUCCGUG
RNAcentral lists this ribosomal RNA (500 nucleotides) under uncultured bacterium. RNAcentral's name for it is "bacterial SSU rRNA". It matches the Rfam family "Bacterial small subunit ribosomal RNA", at positions 1 to 507 of the family's 1533-position model. The record is from RNAcentral.